UACAGAGGGGGCAAGCGUUGUUCGGAAUUACUGGGCGUAAAGGGCUCGUAGGCGGCCAACUAAGUCCGACGUGAAAUCCCAAAGCUUAACUUUGGAACUGCGUCUGAUACUGGACGGCUUGAGUAUGGGAGAGGGAUGUAGAAUUCCAGGUGUAGCGGUGAAAUGCGUAGAUAUCUGGAGGAACACCUGUGGUGUAGACAGCUUACUGGACCACUUCUGACGCUGAGACACGAAAGCGUGGGUAGCAAACAGG
RNAcentral lists this ribosomal RNA (253 nucleotides) under uncultured bacterium. RNAcentral's name for it is "partial 16S ribosomal RNA". It matches the Rfam family "Bacterial small subunit ribosomal RNA", at positions 524 to 776 of the family's 1533-position model. The record is from RNAcentral.